RNAcentral lists this ribosomal RNA (253 nucleotides) under uncultured bacterium. RNAcentral describes it as "partial 16S ribosomal RNA". It matches the Rfam family "Bacterial small subunit ribosomal RNA", at positions 524 to 776 of the family's 1533-position model. The record is from RNAcentral.
UACAGAGGUCUCGAGCGUUGUUCGGAUUCAUUGGGCGUAAAGGGUGCGUAGGCGGUGGGGCAAGUCUGGUGUGAAAUCCCGGGGCUCAACUCCGGAACUGCACUGGAUACUGCUUUACUAGAGCGCUGGAGAGGGAACUGGAAUUUACGGUGUAGCAGUGAAAUGCGUAGAGAUCGUAAGGAAGACCAGUGGCGAAGGCGAGUUCCUGGACAGCAGCUGACGCUGAGGCACGAAGGCCAGGGGAGCAAACGGG